RNAcentral lists this ribosomal RNA (447 nucleotides) under uncultured bacterium. Its description in RNAcentral is "partial 16S ribosomal RNA". It matches the Rfam family "Bacterial small subunit ribosomal RNA", at positions 29 to 523 of the family's 1533-position model. The record is from RNAcentral.
AACGAACGCUGGCGGCAGGCCUAACACAUGCAAGUCGAGCGCCCUUUCGGGGGAGCGGCGGACGGGUGAGUAACGCGUGGGAAUAUGCCCUUCUCUACGGAAUAGCCUCGGGAAACUGAGAGUAAUACCGUAUACGCCCUUAGGGGGAAAGAUUUAUCGGGGGAGGAUUAGCCCGCGUUGGAUUAGGUAGUUGGUGGGGUAAUGGCCUACCAAGCCGACGAUCCAUAGCUGGUUUGAGAGGAUGAUCAGCCACACUGGGACUGAGACACGGCCCAGACUCCUACGGGAGGCAGCAGUGGGGAAUCUUAGACAAUGGGGGCAACCCUGAUCUAGCCAUGCCGCGUGAGUGAUGAAGGCCUUAGGGUUGUAAAGCUCUUUCAGCUGGGAAGAUAAUGACGGUACCAGCAGAAGAAGCCCCGGCUAACUACGUGCCAGCCGCCGCGGUAA